RNAcentral lists this ribosomal RNA (497 nucleotides) under uncultured bacterium. Its description in RNAcentral is "partial 16S ribosomal RNA". It matches the Rfam family "Bacterial small subunit ribosomal RNA", at positions 28 to 508 of the family's 1533-position model. The record is from RNAcentral.
GAUGAACGCUGGCGGCGUGCCUAAUACAUGCAAGUCGAGCGAACAGACGAGGAGCUUGCUCCUCUGACGUUAGCGGCGGACGGGUGAGUAACACGUGGAUAACCUACCUAUAAGACUGGGAUAACUUCGGGAAACCGGAGCUAAUACCGGAUAAUAUUUUGAACCGCAUGGUUCAAUAGUGAAAGACGGUUUUGCUGUCACUUAUAGAUGGAUCCGCGCGGCAUUAGCUAGUUGGUAAGGUAACGGCUUACCAAGGCAACGAUGUAUAGCCGACCUGAGAGGGUGAUCGGCCACACUGACACGAAGCCGCGCACCAGACCCCUGCGGGAGUGACCGGUGGGGAACCGUCAGCAGUGCGUGCAGGCCAUAAACAAGACCGCGCAGUGAAGGUGGAGGGUGUCCGCAUCAUAAAACUCUGUUAUCAGAGAACAACAUAGGUGUAAGUACAUUUCCACAUCUUGACGGUACCUAAUCAAAAGGCCGCGCAUACCUUGUUC